Small nucleolar RNA from Accipiter nisus (Eurasian sparrowhawk), 84 nucleotides. Ensembl annotates it as small nucleolar RNA, C/D box 11B. Lineage: Eukaryota; Metazoa; Chordata; Aves; Accipitriformes; Accipitridae. The record is from Ensembl.
UGAUGGCAGUGAUGAUGCCUAUGUUGUUGCUUUCCUGAUGUACAGAUGUGAGGGUGUACAGUCACUACCUCAUCUGAGCCAUCU